UUCAAAUGAUAUGUUGAUAAGGUUUUCUACAAAAUGUGUUUUCUUUUAACACAUCAGAUUCUUCGAUCAGAUGAUUAAAUGUUAGCAGUUUUGUCCUUGAGUCUCUCAGGUUAGAUUCUUUUCCUACUUACAUUUUUAUUUUUUUGUAUUUUAUUCUGUUUUAAAAAGUUUUAAAAUUUUUAAUUAAUAAAUAUAUUGUUUUCAAGUUUUUUUAAUUCAUCUUUUUAAUUAAUAACUCUUUUAUUAAAUAAAAUAAAAAUAUGUAAUUAUAUAAAAAAUUAUAUUAUAUACAUAUCAUUAUGUUAAAAUAUUUUUAAUUAAUAACUCCUUUAUUUAUAUAUAUAAUAAAAAUUAAUUUUGAUUUUCUAAUAUUAGAAUUUAUCAUACCCACAAUGUAGAUGAAAAAAAUAAUGAUAUUUGAAAUAAUCAUUUAAUUUUAUAAUAGUAGAAAUCAUCACUCUCAUAAUGUAGAUGGAGAAAAUAAAUAUUUAAUAUAUAAAAAUUAUAUAUAAAGAAAAAAAUAUCAAACAAAUUAGUUUAAAAUAAAAUAUAUUUAACAUAAUGAUAAAUAUAAAAAAAUAUAUAAUUUUAUUAUAUAAUUACAUAUUUAGUAAUUUAUUUAUAUAAUAAAAAAUUAAUUAAAAAUAUUUUUUAACAUAAUGAUAUAUAUAAAAUAUAUAUUUAUUAUAUAACUACAAAUUUAUUAUUUUAUUUAUAUAAAUAAAAGAGUUAUUAAUUAAAAAUAUGAAUUAAAAAAGUUGAAAAAAUAUAUUUAUUAAUUAAAAACAUUAGAUAAAAAUUUAAAAUUAAAAAAAAGUAUAAAACAACAUGAAAUAAAAAUACAAAUGUGAGUAGAAAAAAUAAAAUUAUUAACAUUUAAUCAUCUACCAAAAGAGGUAAUAUAUAUAUUUUUUUAAAAAAUACAUUUUGUAGAGAUCGUUUUCUAUUUCUCUUAAAAAUCGAUUCAUUUCUCUAAAUUUUAGGGGAAAAAAACGACUUAAAUCCAUAAUUAUUUUUUAGAAACGGCCAUUUUAUCUAGUUUACCCAAAAUUUAACCUCAUAACAAACCAAACCUCUUAUAAUGUCAUAUUUCUAGCCUAAGAUAUCUCACCGGGAUGUCCACAAUCAUGAUAAACUGAAAGAGAAAAAGGUGAUGAGGUGAUGUGCGUGGCAUGAAGGAGGUAACCUAUGUUUAGCGUGUCGCACAUUCAAGAGCCUGCACUAUACUGGACGCAAUGCUUCCAAUGAAUCAAUAUCAGGACCUUUUGCCUACACCUUUUUUCUUUAGGUUAAAAAUUAGCAUCAAUGGAUUUGGUUUGUGGAAUGCAAUAUUAAGGUUAAUAAAGUUAUAUUCUAAAAUGAGAUUAUAGUAUUUAUAUUGGUAACAUUCCAGCAAUCUCAUUAUUUCACGUUACAAUAUUAAGAUGUCGUAAUAUAGGAUAUAAUCUCGUUACAGUCCAUUUUUUAGAUUAUCUUAAAUUAUGGAUGUAAUAUCAAAAUUUGAAUCAAUUUAUCAUUUGUUUUUAUAAUCAAUAGAGUUUUUUUCUUAAAUAAAAUUUGACUAGUUAAAAAAAAUAAAUAUAUAUAUUUUUCUUAAUAAUAAACCAGU
This 1609-nucleotide long non-coding RNA is filed under the name Gossypium barbadense (sea-island cotton). RNAcentral describes it as "long non-coding RNA (GBAR_LNC016567)". The record is from RNAcentral. Lineage: Eukaryota; Viridiplantae; Streptophyta; Magnoliopsida; Malvales; Malvaceae.